This is a non-coding RNA of Leptospirillum ferriphilum ML-04, 180 nucleotides long. NCBI's taxonomy places the organism in Bacteria, Pseudomonadati, Nitrospirota, Nitrospiria, Nitrospirales, Nitrospiraceae. The record is from Rfam.
UCGACCCUGCACUGUUCGAGAAACGGUUAAAUUUGUUACCUACAUCAUUUUGAGAAAUGGCAUGUCAGUGCGCGUGGUGUGCAUGCCCGGUCCCGGGAAGCCUGAAGCCGCCUACAGUGCCGUACACCUUGUCACGCUAGGUAUCUCAAGUGAAACCGUAACGGCAGAUGCGGGGUUUUG